UCAAGGCGCCGUGUCUGACCGCUUUGAAACCAUUUGAUAGAGAUUUGGGGAAAUUUUACACCCAUGGUGGAAAAAAGUGUCGUCCGGAGGCGGAAGGAGGGAGCAGCGUUCACCUGUCACAAAUGACAGGAGCAGAGCUGAGAUGAACCCGUUCUCCUCGGGAAAAAACUAACACGCUCCGCCACCCCCCCCUCAGGAGGGACUACGAAACGCCUUUCCGUUCAGGAGGGUUUUCACUAUGCGAUGUCACAAAACAUGACCAGUGAGUAAUUACACUUACUUACUAUUUUGCACUGGGAAGAAAACACAAAUAGCGUGCGAGGCUGCGGUAAAACCGAUCCACUUGCCUGCUUCUAGCUGCAAAAACAAGCCAAGAAAUGCAAGGCAAAUGAAACUUCCAACAAUUGGCAGUUUUGCUUAGACAUGCUGCAAACUCUUGACAACAGUAUAGAUGAAGCAGCCAAGACCACAAUAAAUCAAUCAAAAUCGGAAGGCAAGUUAAAUGUUGAUGCCAUAGCUGACACAGCUUCAGAAAAGAGAUUUCAACCCAUUCUAGUAAGUCUGUUGUCCUACAACAUAUGGCAUUAAAAUGAAAAUAUAUAACAAGUUACACUGUUCAGGCAUUCCAAGAUGAAGAACUUGCCAAUAAGAACACUGUAUGUGGAACCUGCAAGAUGUGAAAAAUCCAGAAGCUGUAAGGCGUAAAGACAUUAACGUGCUUGAUCCAAAUGGCUCUAAAUCUCUAAGUCUUCACAAGUACUUCCACCUGUGAAGGAUGCCCCUCCCAAGGAUACUUCAGAUCCUUCUUGGAAGAAUACAAAAGCUAUUAUCUCUGAGAAGAUGCUCAGUGGUACUUAAGCUGAGGUUGCUUCCUGUAGUCAUGAUGCUAGAGCAACAGAGCAGAAGGGUGAAAAAGGAGUUGAUAUCGAGAAUGAUAAAGUGAGGGGACAAAAAAUAGAAAUUAAUAAAUCAUCGUUUAUCUAUAGCCAUACAAAGGUCUCACUCCUGCAUGAAGAUCCUGAGCAGUUAUACUGGCACAUCAUACAAAAGUAUUGCAACUGUUUCUAAUCCUACUGCUUUUAAGAAGAACAGUCAUCGUGCCUGUAUGCAGAUUCCACAUACAAAGCAAAACCAAUAUUCAAAACAUGACAUCCAGGGCUCUUUAACCGGUAACGUCAGGAACAGGUAUGCUGAGGUCAAGGAAGAAAACGAAUAAAAACUGCAGGAGGUUCCACUGCUUUCUGCACUGCCUUCCUUAACAGUCAGCCACGUUGUGGGAGAUGCAGUGCCAUCCAGACUGAACUAACAUUUCCAUGUUGGAAUUUCAUCCUUUUUUAAAAGUUUGUUAGACUGUAAGAAAAAAAUUUCCUUGUGAGCAACGUGGAUAGUUGUAGUUUUUGUAGCUGCUAUUAAUAGGAUUAUAAGCUGCUGAAUGCCAAUUACUUUGAUGCAGGUUUAGUUUCUUCCUGUCUGUAAGAUAGAUUGAUUAGAGCCUUAAAUAGCUUAUUCCGGGCAUGAAGUGCAACCUCUUCAUUUAGAUUCACUCUGAAUGUCUACGGUAGCCUGGCACGGUAAUUGAGUAUUUGAUGCUGCUGAGCACUGAAGCGAUGCCUAACUUUAGGAACAUUCUUAAAUCCAUGCCUACUCCGCAAGGCAUUUAAUAAUAUUCUUAAUUUAAACAGUGCUAAAUCCUGUUGAGCUUCACAGACAAACAUCUGCAUCUAUUCCUUGCUAAUUUGGCACCUAAAAGAAAUGGAAAUGACCUGGAAAGCACACGGUGGUGAGACUGACAGUUACUUACAAUUAUUUUUUCAUACUCCUUGUAGAUUAAUUUUUAAAAUCCUGUUAAUGCGUUCUUGGUUUGUUUCUGUUUAAUAUGUAAUCUGUGCAUUAUGAUAGUCACUGAUUCUUGUUUCAUCUCAUACUGAGGGACUUUUUCUUUUGUGUUAAAAAACAAAAGAGCCGUCUUUCCAUAGAUACAUAGGUAACUGCAGUUCAGCACAGAGAUUUACUGCAACUCACCCUUCCCCUCUUUUGAUGCUUUGAUAAAAAUUUGGAACAGGGAAAGAUAAUACCAGUGCAGGGCUCCGAAUAGCAUAUGGUUUCCACUUUAAAACAGAUGAAGGAAUGCAAUAUCUUUUUAGUUUUAUUUCUUUAGUAAUAAACGUGCAUAAAUGUAGUUUUAGUAGUUUUCUGGCAUCAGUUUGUUGUGUUCAUCUUCAGGUAUCUCAACAUGAGAGCUAAAGAAUCAUCACCUUCCAGAGGCAUAGUUUCAGUAAAAUAGGUGAUAUGUAGUCUAUGUAUCUAAAUAUGUGUUUAUUCCUUUAAAAAAUGGAAGGAUGACAGGGCUUCAUCUCUUCACCCAAUACUCAAGUGAAACGACCUCUAGAGAGGAACACAGGAGCUGAGUGCUAGUGUUAAAUAACAGCUCCAAGCAGUUUGCUUUGUCUCUAAUACAAAUUUUCCUGGGAAUUGCUUAGGGAAAUCUGGAAAUUUUUUAGAACAUUCAUUUGCAUAGAAAGUAUAUUACAAUACUUUAAGAAGCAUAUCUUUAAGUAGAGUGACAUAUCGGCUUCAGGUGCAGAGUAUGCGAGUUGUCGCACUGGAGGUUAGAACAGGGCCACCGUUUUUCUGGCAGCAAAUGUGAUUUUUCCAGCGCGGGUAGUUCUGUGCUGGAGGGAGGAGUGCCACCUGCCGAACGGCGACCGAAACACGCACCCGUGCCACAAAGCACAAGGCUGCUGGCAGCGUUACUGUCUGCUGCAUUCCUUCACUCUUCCUCAAGAACAAAAGCUAAACUUUUCAGCCUGAAAUAGCAGUAAUAUUUUGUACCUGUUUGGUAUUUUGCUGCAAGUCAAGAGGGAAAGUUAUAAAGUACAUAUUCAAAAGUUACACAGGUCUUAAAAAUAGGUCAUUAUAGCUGAUAAUAUUAUCUAUAUGCAUCUUUUACCUCUUUCAAUACUCUGGAUAUCUGCAAAUCUCUGCCAGUGCCUGCCUGGAGACAAGCUCUAUCUUGGUUGUUCCAGGAAACAGGGUUUUUUUGUUGUAGUAACUUGUCCUACUGCUAUUCAGUUACAGUGCUACAGUCACACAAGUGCAGUAUCAUUACGACAGAACAGACACCCCCUCUAACAUACCAUUUUCCUCCCUUCUUUGUACCCAUCCCUCUAUGGUAAUAUAUUUUUUGCAUCCUGUUUUUCAUAUUUAGAUAUAAAAUGCAAGCUCUACAAAAGAAGCAUCCUUCACAAAUAGCCCCAAGAUAAAUAAAUUCAUAUAUACUUAUUUCAGUCCCGUUUUCCACUAAAUAAAAAAUUCAAACAUAUAUGUACCUGUGAAACUAGUAACAUUUUCCAUAGUCUAGAAGGAGAGAUGAUAGUCCCUCCCAUUCAGACAACUGAAAAUACUGCUGCUUCAGUGAGAAAACUGAAAAAUAAACUGCAUUACCAAUUAACAGGAAGUAAAGCCAAACAUGUUCAUUAUAGUAAUUAUAAGUUGCAGCCAUUGCAGACAGGUAGCAAAUUCUUUAGGACUACAGAAAAAAAAAAAUGUUUAAAGUUGCAGGGAAAACUAUAAACUUUAUUUCCACAUUUUCCAGUGUUUCAUGCCAGGUAAGAUUUUUGCGGAGGUUUCUGAAACUGUCAAAUCAGACAGAUUAGACAGAGGUUUUACUGCAGCCUGACACAAGAUAUUUGUAAGAACCACCCUCGCAGAUUACUGCGAUAAGACCUGUAGCAGAAGACCAGAAAAGCUGCUAACUAAAGGCCCAGAACAUAAAGGAAUACACAACACUUAAGCUUAAAUCACGUGCCCUUGAAUACACUGGGUUCUUCUAGCACAGGAAACACCAGCUUCUUGUUUACGUGUAAAAUCUCUCAAGAAUAAAGCCAUUCCUGUUCAGGAAGGGAAAUAAAUUUAAGGGCUAGAUCAGCUAGAAGUGCUUCCUGUAUUCAAGUUGCCAAAACAAAACAAGCAAAAGGGGAAUUGUUGACAACAAUGUAAAAAUACAAUGAUGGAACACCUGAAAGUUAAAUCAACAUUUUUGCCCUUCUGUUUUAGGUCCAAACUUCCAAAGGACUGAUUCCAGAGGACUCACUGUCAAAUCCUGGAGCCAGAAAGAAAAUCUGCCUCUAAUUCCAUUGUUUUGACACAAAACAAUCAGCUUGCCAGCAUGCAAUUUCUUUAAGUGAAGGAAAUUCAGAACUAAACACAAAGUGGUCAGGGAUGUUUUCACUGCCAGCAGAAGAAAUAAGUGAAUUCUCAGCAAUAGCAAGCAAAAAAAUAGUUCAAAAAUACAUGAGGCUUCCCUUCUAAAGAGCCAUUAUCAUCUUCUCAAUUGAGAGUUAAAGUUCAUCCUGCCUUUUACACUGUCUACCAUUUGUGAAAGUUUCAUGAGGAUCAGUCUGUCCAAGUACGACUUUUGUCCAUGAGCCAAAUCUGUUCUGAAUAAUGAAAAGCCUGAAAUAACAGCAAAAUCAUCCCUAUGGUAGGAAUAGGGCUAUUAUUCCUAAAAGGAUGGUCAGCAUCUUAUACAUUUGACUCUUCCCUAAUUUUAAAUGUUCAGAACAGGAAUUUAUUUUCUAGAUACAACGUACUCCCCUCUGGAAGUAUCUUUCAUAUUUUCCUGCCACUAGGGCUGAGCGGUGCCUUGUGGAAAUGCCUCCCUCCGAGUGUGACAGGACUGGGAACAGCAGCCUCUAUACAGCAGAGAAUGUUUCAGGUGUGACUGUAGCUGAUGUAAGGGUAGAACUAGGAGCAUCUGCUUGUUCGCCCACUGAAUUAUAUAUUAAGAUAGACAGGUAACAGUAGAAAUUAGCAUUUUGUAUUUUCCAACUAACAGAAAAUGGUGGGAUUUUUAUUAAGCAUGGGAACUGUACAGGAAGAAAAGAGACAAAGUAUGAUCCAUGCUUCAAAUCAACAUAUGCUAGCUUUUUUUUUUUUUUUAAUAUUCAUAGUGGCAAAAAUUAUUUUCUCAGUUAUAUAAAAUAUAUUGCAAAAUAAUAAAAGAUGUUAGAGAGGACUGCAAUUUUCUAGUACUUUAAAAACUAAUCAUCAUAAUGUAGUUGAAUUUCUACUUGAUGUUACUUAUGACUAGAAAUCUUGAAAAUUACAGGAGGGGUAGAUGAUAGGGUAGAUAAAGAAUGUAAAGUAAUCCUGUCCUGAGAGUCUGUUGUAAAAGAAAGGCCUCUGUCAGUGAGCUGAAACCACAGAGAUAUUGCAUUGUGCAUACAAGGUAACUACAGACUUAAGUUUUGCACCCACUGCUGAGAGGUUUGAGAUGGAGCACAACUAGUGCAGCCCCAGCCUCAGUGCUGCUGGUCAGAAGAACCCAGUGCUGCCCAUACACAUCAGAGUCCACACCAGUCUAUGCACAGGUUCACUUAGAGCAGAGACCCUCUCGAGUGGAUUUGUUUCAGGUUUAUGACUCUUGACAUUCCAAACACCUUUGUGUUGCCAGUUUAAACUUCUGAGGAUUCACUGACAAGCAGGACUACACAGGAAAACUUUUGCUGCCUCUAGAGAUCAAGGGCUGACAUUGUAGAAUAGUUUUAAUUUACAAAAUCUCUACCAAUUCAAAAGACACCUAGCUAUCAAAAGGUAAGGUGCUAAGGAGCAAUGGGUGGUACUUACCAACAGGCACUGAGUACCCCACCCAUGCCUCUAUAGGCAGGAGAUCACAGCCAUUAAAACAGAAGGCAAAAAAUGAUUGAAGUUAACUUUAUUCCAAAAUAUGUAUAAUUUACAGGACUAAAUUAAGUGCUUCAUUUGUGAACAAAACGUUUCAAUACUUGUGAAUAACUUACUAGUCGCUUUGCGUAACACUUCAGUUUCCAACAGAGGGAAAUAUGAAACAGUAUUUUGGCACAAGGUUUUCUCUGCAUGCAUUAAUAUACUUAAAAGUUUCACAAUUACUAGGACAACAUUCCUUCUUUGGGAUUGUCUCAGAAUUUAUGCUUGCUUUUGUCCGCUCAUCGUAAGUUCACUGGCUUAAAUAACAAGAAUUAAACAUGGACAUCCUUUGAAAACUCAAUUUGUCCACUAGAUCAAAAUCCCACCAGUGAUGAGAAGAAAAAUAUUUUAAGGACAUUUCUCAUCCUUUUUGAGAUUCACUCACACAUGCCUUGGGAACGACUCACCCAUGAGAUUUAUUACUCAUCCAUUCUAAAUAAUUACAAGUUUAAUUUAGAUCAUAAUCAGGUGUUGAGUUCUGUAAACUGAAGAAAAUACAGCUGUCCUUCAUAUCUAGCUUUAUCAUAGAUGCACUUGUAAAUAUCUGUAGAUAGAAGUGCUGUCAAUCUAGCUCUGCAUGCAAAUGCUUGAAGCAUGCAUGUAAAGCAUUAGUUGUUGUGCAGUGUACAGUUUACAUCAUCACAAGUCAUCUAUUAUAUUCCAUUGCUAGUUGACAAUACUGCUGUAAAGCCAGUAUAUGAAAAAGAAUCAGAAGUAAAGACUUUCUGCUGUUUAACUCAGCAGUUCGUUCAGGAGUUCCCACUGUGUCAGGCUGUCCGAUUACAUUUUUGGUGAAGUGGAAGAGUCACGUGCACUAAUACAAACAUACCCUCAACCUGGCUGCAGGGCAGCGAAGAGUUGAAUGACGUAGUUCCUUGAUUCUGUUCAUUGCAUAGCAAUGGCACUUUAAACAAGAAAAUUCAGUCAUGCUCUAAGCAGCAAAUUCUUCUAGCACACAUUUAAGUUCACAGCAACUGUUAAAAAACAACAAAAGAAACAGAAGAUGCCCGUUUGCACCAUGCACUGAUGCUUGCUACCAUGAAACAACCCUGUCCCCACAGUGUUCAUAUAAAGUUACUACUGGAAGUCCGCUGACUGUAGGCCUGUUCUACUAAGAACACAAGCAUAGCAGCACCUUAAACCAAACGUGAAUGAAAAAGCUUGCAAGGCCCAGAAUGUUGACAACAUUUUGGUGUGAAUGUAUUUGGAACAGCAAAUUGUACAUUAAGAUCAUGUUUAAAAAAACCCAGCACGUCAGAAAUAUAUUAAAGCACAGGAAACUGUACAACCUUAAUGAUAAAGGCAAGUACAUUUGGUUCACUUCUGAGUUGUCAUUUCAGUAACGUAUUCUUUUGCAAGUUGAGCACCCUAUGUUGAUUCAGUAUGUAUGAGUCCUACUGACUUCCCCUAUAUUUGAAAGAUUAUUAAAAAACCCCUAACACCCCAACAUCCCAAUCCUGCCAACACUCACAUCUCUACCCAGCCUCACAAAAAACCCCCCCAAACAACCAAUUCAGAUCUGACUAAGCGCGUGAGCAUGUGUUAGCAGGAUAAGGAUUUAAAACCGUAGAAGGCAGACGUCUUUCUUUGUUCUGUUGCCUCUACACAAUUAAGGUACAUAUGACUAACAAGGAAAUUCAGCCUUUUGUUUUUAACAGAAAAAAUGACUGCGUAUGUGCCUUGGAAUUAAAAUUUGUAAGGAGUGUUAGUUACAUAGUAAGUUACAGACACCGAUUCAAUUGUUCAAAACCAGAUGAGGUCUCACAAGGCUUGUUUUACAGCUGUUUAAUUUACAGCUGCAAGUAUACAUAUGUGUAUAAGAUUUCAUAUCCUUUGGAAGUGAAAAUUUUCUAGACACAAGCAGCUUUGCAUAGCUAAGAAUACGUAGCGUUAGUAAACUCUGAUUUUACACUACCAAUUUCUCUAGGCUGACAUGAAGAGCUGGGGGAGGAUUCCCUCCCUACCCAAAGCAGAAAGAAGUAUUUACAAGUGUAUUAGCAGAAACAGAUGCAAAUAAAGCCAAAAUUAGAAGAAACAUAUAUCUAGCGACAUACAAGCUUUUAGCAUUGUGACAAAUAUGAAAGGCAACAAGACAGACCACUCAUUUUUCAGCUGUUUUGUGCUUAUGCUCUCAUAGAAUGCGUGUCCCAAAUUUGUUUGGUUCUUUUAUGUACUAAAAAAAGCUCAAGUGAAACUACAAAACUACCAAUUCAGUUUUUGAGUAGCAUUACACAGGCAUCCAUUUCAAGAUCCAGCAAUCACAGCAUAACAGAAUUCAGCAGGAAAUGCAGAGAGUAAGUACAAGUAACAUUAGUAUCACUUCCAGAUAAAAAUUUGUGCUAAGAGGCUAUGGAGUAUCUGAUGUUACUUCUUGUGUAGCAGUUAAAAUGGCAGUAGAGGAUACAAAGAAGAUAAGCAAAGUACUAAGUCACUGCUGACUGAUACUUAACAAUAGAGACAGUGCCUUGAAAAUCAGAGGCAAAUUGCAGAAAAAUGGAGAUAAGUAUAAUUUUAGUCCUACCAAGAAAUAGUUUGGACUGAAAUUUAUUUUUAAAACAAUGGCCAAAAAAGAAAAUCAGCCAUUUUAAAGAGCUUGUUCAAAUGUGAAGAAUUCAUAAUAUUCAGCAACAGUAUCUCAGAUCAUGUUUCAUUACAUUUACUGUGGGAUUCAGCAAACUAAGAAGUCUGGUUGCAGUCUUCACAUUUUCACAAAAAUACUUAUGUAUGCAGCAACAUAGGAUCCAAACUUGUUUCUGACUUUUAUGAAUAAUUUGGAGAAGCAAAUUUGUGAAGAAGCAAGCUAAUUUUGGUCAGAAUGAUCCACUUCCCUAAAGAAAUGCAGGCAUAUUUAAUAGUUUCUUAAUACUGCACUUUCAAUAAAUAAUUUCAUGUUGCAGUACUGUGUUCACCUAACUAAAGUUCAAGUUAUUUUAAACACACUGGAUGAGGGAAGGGAAUCAUAUUUGCAUAUUCUAAUAAAAUACACAAAACUCAUGAGUACUUUUAAUUACAAAGUACAAUAAAUGAGUAACAUUUACAUUGUAAGAUUCUGUCUACACAAGCUUUUUUUUUCCUGAUAGUCACUGAUGUUGAGAGCUUUGGCUUAUACCCUAAGAGCAUGGCAAUUCUCAUUCCGAUUUGUAAAUUAGUUUCAAAGUUCUUUAAAUGCUAGCUGCUCUCAGAUGGCUACAAUUCAAAGCCAUCUGUAAUUCUGCUCCUCAUCACCCAAGAUUCCUUCUCUUGCAGGAAAAAGACAGACUUUCUAAAUUCAGAGGUAAUGAACAGUUUCUCACUUCUGCCUUCUACAGCUGGGGAAAAUGCAGUUUUCCCCAAUCAGAUUUAUAGUAACUGCUCCUCUUUCAUGCGUCAGUACUGACAACUUGCACGUGGGAAACACAGAAGCCUACAUAUGAAGAGAUGUUCUCUGGUAUUCCAGCCAGGGGGAAGAAAGGAGAAGGGAAAACACUUUAAAACAUGAAGAAGCAACAUUACUAGAAAAGGAAUGCAAUAAAUUAACCUAAUUUUGUCAUUUAUUUCCUACUUUCAAAGGAGGCAAGUAAAUAUGAAUCAGUCAUAUCUUCAGAAGAAACAGAAUUACAAGCAAGGCCUUCCUUUAAUUAACAUAUCCCACCUUUAAGAUCAGAACUCUAGGUACUGUGAAACCUGGGGGAACUUUCCCCAAAGCAGAAUUACUGUACUCCUGGGGAGAACUGCAAGAUUCCUUUCUGCAGUUUCUUCAGCUAAAGACUGGAAGUAUCUGAAAUCACAGCUAGAAAUGUUGAAAAAUUAAACAGGCAACAACAGCUGUGGUUUCAGGAGGAAAAUACGAGUUUCAGGGUUAAUCUAAAGAGAUUAUUUACAGUAAAAGUAGAGCUGCUUAUCAUAUUAGUGUGUUAACUACGGCAAUUUAAAGAGUGGUAGGAAGAGA
Molecule: long non-coding RNA, 9655 nt
Organism: Athene cunicularia (burrowing owl)
Lineage: Eukaryota; Metazoa; Chordata; Aves; Strigiformes; Strigidae
Exons: 2
Source: RefSeq, a predicted model, not a curated record